RNAcentral lists this non-coding RNA (27 nucleotides) under Homo sapiens (human). The record is from RNAcentral. Lineage: Eukaryota; Metazoa; Chordata; Mammalia; Primates; Hominidae.
UGUCUAGCAGUGGAAUUCUGCCUGAGU